UACUAUAUAGUUUAAAAAAAACUUUAAUCUUGUAAAUUAAUAAUAAAUAUCUUAUUUUAUAGUAA
This 65-nucleotide transfer RNA is filed under the name Pachycephus cruentatus. RNAcentral's name for it is "tRNA-Thr". The record is from RNAcentral. Lineage: Eukaryota; Metazoa; Arthropoda; Insecta; Hymenoptera; Cephidae.